GACGAACGCUGGCGGCGUGCUUAACACAUGCAAGUCGAACGGAAAGGCCCUGCUUUUGUGGGGUGCUCUAGUUGCGAACGGGUGAGUAACACGUGAGUAACCUGCCCUUGACUUUGGGAUAACUUCAGGAAACUGGGUCUAAUACCGGAUAGGAGCUCCUGCUGCAUGGUGGGGGUUGGUAAGUUUCGGCGGUUGGGGAUGGACUCGCGGCUUAUCAGCUUGUUGGUGGGGUAGUGGCUUACCAAGGCUUUGACGGGUAGCCGGCCUGAGAGGGUGACCGGCCACAUUGGGACUGAGCUACGGCCCAGACUCCUACGGGAGGCAGCAGUGCGGAAUAUUGCACAAUGGGCGGAAGCAUGAUGCAGCCAAGCAGCGUGCGGGAUGACGGCAUUCGGGUUGUAAACCGCUUUCGCCUGUGACGAAGCGUGAGUGACGGUAAUGGGUAAAGAAGCACCGGCUAACUACGUG
This 468-nucleotide ribosomal RNA is filed under the name uncultured bacterium. RNAcentral describes it as "partial 16S ribosomal RNA". It matches the Rfam family "Bacterial small subunit ribosomal RNA", at positions 28 to 507 of the family's 1533-position model. The record is from RNAcentral.